CAGUCCCGCGGUAAAACGUAGGGUGCGAGCGUUAAUCGGAAUUACUGGGCGUAAAGCGUGCGCAGGCGGUUGUGUAAGACAGGUGUGAAAUCCCCGGGCUUAACCUGGGAAUGGCAAUGGAUACUGGCAAGCUAGAGUGUGUCAGAGGAUGGUGGAAUUCCCGGUGUAGCGGUGAAAUGCGUAGAGAUCUGGAGGAACAUCAGUGGCGAAGGCGGCCAUCUGGGACAACACUGACGCUGAGGCACGAAAGCGUGGGGAGCAAACAGGAUUAGAUACCCCAGUAGUCCCUGUCUCUUAUACA
Molecule: ribosomal RNA, 301 nt
Filed under: uncultured bacterium
Lineage: Bacteria
Description: partial 16S ribosomal RNA
Rfam family: Bacterial small subunit ribosomal RNA
Source: RNAcentral